This 468-nucleotide ribosomal RNA is filed under the name uncultured bacterium. RNAcentral's name for it is "partial 16S ribosomal RNA". It matches the Rfam family "Bacterial small subunit ribosomal RNA", at positions 28 to 507 of the family's 1533-position model. The record is from RNAcentral.
GACGAACGCUGGCGGCGUGCUUAACACAUGCAAGUCGAACGGAAAGGCCCUGCUUUUGUGGGGUGCUCGAGUGGCGAACGGGUGAGUAACACGUGAGUAACCUGCCCUUGACUUUGGGAUAACUUCAGUAAACUGGGGCUAAUACCGGAUAGGAGCUCCUGCUGCCUGGUGGGGGUUGGAGAGUUUCGGCGGUUGGGGAUGGACUCGCGGCUUAUCAGCUUGUUGGUGGGGUAGUGGCUUACCAAGGCUUUGACGGGUAGCCGGCCUGAGAGGGUGACCGGCCACAUUGGGACUGAGAUGAGGCCCAGACUCCUACGGGAGGCAGCAGUGGGGAAUAUUGCACCAUGGGCGGAAGCCUGAUGCAGCAACGCCGCGUGCGGGAUGAAGGCCUUCGGGUUGUAAACCGCUUUCGCCUGUGACGAAGCGUGAGUGACGGUAAUGGGUAAAGAAGCACCGGCUAACUACGUG